Molecule: transfer RNA, 68 nt
Filed under: Eupelmus anpingensis
Lineage: Eukaryota; Metazoa; Arthropoda; Insecta; Hymenoptera; Eupelmidae
Description: tRNA-Asn
Source: RNAcentral
UUAAUAAAAACCAAGUUUCGAGGUUUUUCAUUGUUAAUGAAAAUAUUGAAUUUAAAUUUCUUAUUAAU